AACUGAUCAAUAAGGUCAUCUUUCUGAUUCUUAAUUAAAGUUCUUUGAAAAGUAGAUAAACUUAGUAAAAUAAUAGAAAUCAAAG
RNAcentral lists this ribosomal RNA (85 nucleotides) under Candidatus Phytoplasma cynodontis. RNAcentral's name for it is "partial 23S ribosomal RNA". The record is from RNAcentral. Lineage: Bacteria; Bacillati; Mycoplasmatota; Mollicutes; Acholeplasmatales; Acholeplasmataceae.